GAUGAACGCUGGCGGCGUGCCUAAUACAUGCAAGUCGAGCGAACGGACGAGAAGCUUGCUUCUCUGAUGUUAGCGGCGGACGGGUGAGUAACACGUGGAUAACCUACCUAUAAGACUGGGAUAACUUCGGGAAACCGGAGCUAAUACCGGAUAAUAUUUUGAACCGCAUGGUUCAAAAGUAAAAGACGGUCUUGCUGUCACUUAUAGAUGGAUCCGCGCUGCAUUAGCUAGUUGGUAAGGUAACGGCUUACCAAGGCAACGAUGCAUAGCCGACCUGAGAGGGUGAUCGGCCACACUGGAACUGAGACACGGUCCAGACUCCUACGGGAGGCAGCAGUAGGGAAUCUUCCGCAAUGGGCGAAAGCCUGACGGAGCAACGCCGCGUGAGUGAUGAAGGCCUUCGGAUCGUAAAACUCUGUUAUUAGGGAAGAACAUAUGUGUAAGUAACUGUGCACAUCUUGACGGUACCUAAUCAGAAAGCCACGGCUAACUACGU
Molecule: ribosomal RNA, 496 nt
Filed under: uncultured bacterium
Lineage: Bacteria
Description: partial 16S ribosomal RNA
Rfam family: Bacterial small subunit ribosomal RNA
Source: RNAcentral